This 497-nucleotide ribosomal RNA is filed under the name uncultured bacterium. RNAcentral's name for it is "partial 16S ribosomal RNA". It matches the Rfam family "Bacterial small subunit ribosomal RNA", at positions 28 to 507 of the family's 1533-position model. The record is from RNAcentral.
GAUGAACGCUGGCGGCGUGCCUAAUACAUGCAAGUCGAGCGAACAGACGAGGAGCUUGCUCCUCUGACGUUAGCGGCGGACGGGUGAGUAACACGUGGAUAACCUACCUAUAAGACUGGGAUAACUUCGGGAAACCGGAGCUAAUACCGGAUAAUAUAUUGAACCGCAUGGUUCAAUAGUGAAAUACGGUUUUGCUGUCACUUAUAGAUGGAUCCGCGCCGCAUUAGCUAGUUGGUAAGGUAACGGCUUACCAAGGCAACGAUGCGUAGCCGACCUGAGAGGGUGAUCGGCCACACUGGAACUGAGACACGGUCCAGACUACUACGGGAGGCAGCAGUAGGGAAUCUUACGCAAUGGGCGAAAGCUUGACGGAGCAACGCCGCGUGAGUGAUGAAGGUCUUCGGAUCGUAAAACUCUGUUAUUAGGGAAGAACAAAUGUGUAAGUAACUAUGCACGUCUUGACGGUACCUAAUCAGAAAGCCACGGCUAACUACGUG